This 138-nucleotide long non-coding RNA is filed under the name Chrysemys picta bellii (western painted turtle). Its description in RNAcentral is "lncRNA (ENSCPBG00000007753.1)". The record is from RNAcentral. Lineage: Eukaryota; Metazoa; Chordata; Testudines; Emydidae.
GGUAUAUCACUCAGACCAUAUCUGCAUUCUCUGGUUGAUUUCUCAAAUAAGCACGGCCUCUGCAGUGGCCCAGCCUUGCAUGGGAAAUACCCUUUGUGCCUUGAAAUGGGGAAGACUAGAAACGUUGUUUGACAGAGA